Molecule: ribosomal RNA, 490 nt
Filed under: uncultured bacterium
Lineage: Bacteria
Description: partial 16S ribosomal RNA
Rfam family: Bacterial small subunit ribosomal RNA
Source: RNAcentral
AUUGAACGCUGGCGGCAGGCCUAACACAUGCAAGUCGAACGGUAACAGGAAGAAGCUUGCUUCUUUGCUGACGAGUGGCGGACGGGUGAGUAAUGUCUGGGAAACUGCCUGAUGGAGGGGGAUAACUACUGGAAACGGUAGCUAAUACCGCAUAAUGUCGCAAGACCAAAGAGGGGGACCUUCGGGCCUCUUGCCAUCGGAUGUGCCCAGAUGGGAUUAGCUAGUAGGUGGGGUAACGGCUCACCUAGGCGACGAUCCCUAGCUGGUCUGAGAGGAUGACCAGCCACACUGGAACUGAGACACGGUCCAGACUCCUACGGGAGGCAGCAGUGGGGAAUAUUGCACAAUGGGCGCAAGCCUGAUGCAGCUAUGCCGCGUGUAUGAAGAAGGCCUUCGGGUUGUAAAGUACUUUCAGCGGGGAGGAGGGGAGUAAAGUUAAUACCUUUGCUCAUUGACGUUACCCGCAGAAGAAGCACCGGCUAACUCCGUG